This 1209-nucleotide long non-coding RNA is filed under the name Callithrix jacchus (white-tufted-ear marmoset). RNAcentral's name for it is "lncRNA (ENSCJAG00000071243.1)". Lineage: Eukaryota; Metazoa; Chordata; Mammalia; Primates; Cebidae. The record is from RNAcentral.
UGAAGGACCCCACUGAUUCCAGCUGCUCUAAAGAACCCUACUGACAUUAGCUGGUCUGAAGGACCCCAUAAGAAGCUGACUCACUAAAAAAAGUGCAGUUUCCACAUUGUGAUGAUUUCAUCCCCUUUACCCCAACAAAUCAACAACCUAAAUUCCCCAGCCCCUCACCCUCCAUGAUCUCCUUGCAAAUCCCAGCCCAGAACUCCCUGAGAUGAAUUUGAGAGUCUCUGCUCAUCUCACUUGGCAACCAGCGAUCAUUAAACUCUUUCUCUGCUGAAAACUUUGCUGUUUUAUUAUAGUGGGUCUGUUCAUGUGCAGCUGGCACACAAACCUGUUGGUCCUGUAACAGUUCUCUUACUCCUUUUCAGGGUCCUCACCGUGACACCUGACCAGUCUUGGGGCACGCCAUCCUCUACUGAUCUGAGGUUGCUCCUGUCAGAUCAAGGUACUCACCUUCUGGGGACCUCUGAACUGGAAGUUGUGAUCUGGAGACACCCCUGAAGGACAUCCUGUCCUUGUUUCAGAUGAACUAAUGGGGAAGGAAUAAAGAAGGAGACAAGGAACAACAAAAAGAAUAUUAAAUUUAAAUGCCUUCCAAAUGGUGGAACUCCAUGUAUUGAUUUCAAUAUGCCAGUGGGUGUGACCUAGAUUCAAAAGUGAAGAGGCACUGUUAUUUAAUCUUUAGAAAUAGUAUCACAUGCUUCCUCCAGGUGCAUGUAAAUAUGCUCAUGUAAUGGUAAAAUUAAAUAUAUUCCUUGUCACUGGAACUUGCUCUGAUAAAAUGUAAAGUUCUGUGCUUGUAAAACUGUUGGUAAAAGUGAUAGAAAAGCUGCAAAACAAACUGUAAAAAAUGUUCAAGUAACAUUCUUUGUUUUAGAACAUGAGAAAAUAGUGAUUUACUGGGGGGCUUUCAGAACAGAAAUUAUUGGUGGGCACUGAUGGAUCACUACUGAGGCUAAUAAAAGAUAAAUUUUCUUCACUUAUUCUCUCUAAGGCACUGGUAUACAAUCACAGAGAUGACCUCAUUCCUUUCCUUACUCCUUUGAUGUGACUAAGAGUCAGAAACUCAUGACAUUAACAUGAGAUGAUGCACUGAAUAGAAGUACGCACAGGUGCUUUGGAAGCUCUGGUGAGAGGAUAACUAACUGCUGGAUUAUUGGGGUUGCAAUGAAGGGGUGUGGGCGUUAGGAAAGUUUCCCAAAAAAAAGC